GGCUACAUCAUGUUGAAAUGCUAGUUCCUGUAUGAUCACCAAAGUUAAGCAACAUCAAGCCUGGUGAAUACCUAGAUGGGUAACCUCUUGGGAAAACCAAGUGCUGUAAG
Molecule: non-coding RNA, 110 nt
Organism: Acanthosepion pharaonis
Lineage: Eukaryota; Metazoa; Mollusca; Cephalopoda; Sepiida; Sepiidae
Source: the annotation of a GenBank genome assembly